Molecule: transfer RNA, 66 nt
Filed under: Anolis onca
Lineage: Eukaryota; Metazoa; Chordata; Lepidosauria; Squamata; Anolidae
Description: tRNA-Trp
Source: RNAcentral
AAGCUUAGGUUAAUUAAACCAAGGGCCUUCAAAGCCCUUAAUAUGGACACACAUCCCUAGUUUUUG